UGACCUAGGGGCGCAGCAGUGGGGAAUAUUGGGCAAUGGGCGCAAGCCUGACCCAGCAACGCCGCGUGAAGGAAGAAGGCUUUCGGGUUGUAAACUUCUUUUGUCAGGGACGAAGCAAGUGACGGUACCUGACGAAUAAGCCACGGCUAACUACGUGCCAGCAGCCGCGGUAAUACGUAGGCGGCAAGCGUUAUCCGGAUUUACUGGGUGUAAAGGGCGUGUAGGCGGGGAAGCAAGUCAGAUGUGAAAACCACGGGCUCAACCCCCGAACUGCAUUUGAAACUGUUGGUCUU
RNAcentral lists this ribosomal RNA (293 nucleotides) under uncultured bacterium. Its description in RNAcentral is "partial 16S ribosomal RNA". It matches the Rfam family "Bacterial small subunit ribosomal RNA", at positions 335 to 643 of the family's 1533-position model. The record is from RNAcentral.